Molecule: ribosomal RNA, 1249 nt
Filed under: Paraphysomonas imperforata
Lineage: Eukaryota; Chrysophyceae; Chromulinales; Paraphysomonadaceae
Description: partial Bacterial large subunit ribosomal RNA
Rfam family: Bacterial large subunit ribosomal RNA
Source: RNAcentral
CGGAGCCGUAGCGAAAGCGAGUCUUAAUAGGGCGCCAUAGUCAGUAGUAGUAGACGCGAAACCGUGCGAUCUACCCAUGGGCAGGUUGAAGCUGUGGUAACACAUAGUGGAGGACCGAACCCGUUGACGUUGAAAAGUCUUGGGAUGACCUGUGGGUAGGGGUGAAAGGCCAAUCAAGCUCGGAAAUAGCUCGUACUCCCCGAAAUGCAUUUAGGUGCAGCGUGUAGAUAGUUUUAUAGAGGUAGAGCUACUGAUUGGAUGCGGGGGCUUCACCGCCUACCAAUUCCUGACAAACUCCGAAUGCUAUAAAAUGUUUCUGCGCAGUGAGGGCAUGGGUGCUAAGGUCCAUGUCCGAGAGGGAAAGAACCCAGAUCACCGGCUAAGGUCCCAAAGUAUAUACUAAGUUGAUAUAACGCGGUGGAACUGCAUUGACAGCCAGGAUGUUGGCUUGGAAGCAGCCAUUCAUUUAAAGAGUGCGUAACAGCUCACUGGUCGAGCGGUUCCGCAUGGAUAAUAAUCGGGCAUAAGUAUAUCACCGAAGCCGUGACUUCAUAUUUAUAUGAGGGGUAGGGGAGCAUUGUAACUGCGUCGAAGGCGUACCUGCGAGGGAUGCUGGAGCGGUUACAAACGAAAAUGUAGGCAUAAGUAACGAUAAUGCGGGCGAGAAACCCGCACGCCGAAAGACCAAGGUUUCCCCAGCUAUGCUAAUCAGCUGGGGGUCAGUCGGGACCUAACGCGAACCCGAAGGGGAUAGUGGAUGGACAACAGAUUAAUAUUUCUGUACCUGCUCACGCUAAAAGUGACGGAGGCGAGAAGUUGGUGCGUACAGACGGAAUUGUACGUUGAAGGGAGCGGUAACGCCCCGAUAGUACACCGAGGCCACGGCCAAGGUGAUAAUCCAGCAUAUCGACUUCCAAGAAAAGCGAGUGAAGCAGCCCGUACCGUAAACCGACACAGGUGGUUGGGAUGAGUAUUCUAAGGCGCUCGAGAGAUUCAUGGCUAAGGAACUAGGCAAAAUAGACCCGUAACUUCGGGAGAAGGGUCGCCCCCUUAUGGGGGGCCGCAGUGAAGAGGUCCAGGCGACUGUUUAUCAAAAACACAGGGCUCUGCAAAAUCGAAAGAUGACGUAUAGGGCCUGACACCUGCCCGGUGCUGGAAGGUUAAGAGGAGAUGUCAUUCCUUCGGGGAGAAGCAUUGAAUUGAAGCCCCAGUAAACGGCGGCCGUAACAAUAACGGUCCUAAGGUAGCG